CGGACGGGUGAGUAAUGCCUAGGAAUCUGCCUGGUGGUGGGGGACAACGUUUCGAAAGGAACGCUAAUACCGCAUACGUCCUACGGGAGAAAGCAGGGGACCUUCGGGCCUUGCGCUAUCAGAUGAGCCUAGGUCGGAUUAGCUAGUUGGUGAGGUAAUGGCUCGCCAAGGCGACGAUCCGUAACUGGUCUGAGAGGAUGAUCAGUCACACUGGAACUGAGACACGGUCCAG
RNAcentral lists this ribosomal RNA (232 nucleotides) under uncultured Pseudomonadales bacterium. RNAcentral describes it as "partial 16S ribosomal RNA". It matches the Rfam family "Bacterial small subunit ribosomal RNA", at positions 99 to 334 of the family's 1533-position model. Lineage: Bacteria; Pseudomonadati; Pseudomonadota; Gammaproteobacteria; Pseudomonadales. The record is from RNAcentral.